AUCCAGUCCAGCAAAGCACUUAAGUAUGUGCUUAAAUUUAAGCACAAACCUAAGCCUAUUUUUAGACAACAAAGAACUUUUAGAAUGUUUUACCAAGGCAAGCACUUACAUUGUUAUGCUUCCAAUGUUAAUUUCAGAUUGUGAUUGCUGCUCUGCUCGGAGUCUUCCUAGCUACAAUUUUUGCUAAUGAUAAUGUGAAUGAAAACAAUCAGGGAAACGAUGGCGGAAACUCCCACCAGACUGUGAGCAUCAACAAUGAUAAGCACAUGGUCAACAUUGAUUCAAACCAUGGCUGGAAUUCAUGGAACUCCAUCUGGGAUUAUGGCAAUGGUUACAUUGCAACCAGGAUACUUUCAAAGAAAACCUGCAUCACUGCAAAAAUAAACAAAAAUGUUAUGCCUGAUGUAGUAGAGCAUCCACAGCUGAUUA
Gopherus flavomarginatus (Mexican gopher tortoise) is the source of this 429-nucleotide long non-coding RNA. RefSeq lists it as uncharacterized. Lineage: Eukaryota; Metazoa; Chordata; Testudines; Testudinidae. The transcript is spliced from 3 exons. The record is from RefSeq and is a predicted model, not a curated record.